This is a long non-coding RNA of Acinonyx jubatus (cheetah), 10798 nucleotides long. RefSeq lists it as uncharacterized. The transcript is spliced from 4 exons. The record is from RefSeq and is a predicted model, not a curated record. Lineage: Eukaryota; Metazoa; Chordata; Mammalia; Carnivora; Felidae.
AAAAAGAAUUGAACAGAGUUGAGAGUUUCCUCAGAAAUUAACAGAGAAGAUACGUAGAUGACAAAUAGCACUUGAAAAAUGUUCAGGAUCAUUAGUUACUGUGGAAUGCAAAUUACAAUCACAGCUACUAGUAUAGGUAAAAUUUUAAAGGUAAGAGUGGAAAAUAACAAUUGUUGGCCAGGAUGUGGAGCAGUAGGAACUCUCCUGGCCUGCUGUGGGAAAGACAAAAUGGUUCAUCCUCUUUGGAAAAUGGUUAAACAGUUUCUUACCAAGUUACACAUGCACUUAACAGACCAGCAAUCCAUCCCAUUUCUUGUGUUUACCUAAGAGUAAAAAAAAAUACAUGUGUACCAUAAGAAAGAGUCUAACAUCUUUUGAUGUUUUUGGACAAUUUUUAAGCCUAACACCUCUCUCUUCCCCUUCUUCCCAGUUUCAAGCAAGCUAAUAAUACCUCAACACAGGUGCUCUCUCACUGCUUUCGUGAAGAUAUGAGGCUCAAACCACACAAGUCCCUGCCCAUGCUCUGGAACCUUCCUCCAGCCCCACUCCCAUAAAACUCCAAGCCAGUCUCCUUUCCUUGAUCUUCUAAGUCAUUUUUUGGGCCUGCUUGGCAAGCAUUCUGCUCUCCCCAGAAAGCCUCCUUAUGUGAAUAAAAGUCUUUUCUUAAUUUGUGCUAGCAUCAUCAGUCUGGACAUCCAAACCAAACUUGGCAAAUCUGCCUCUGCAAGGUGACUGCCAUAUCCGUGCAAAGGCUUGCGUGUGAAUGUUUAUAGGAGCUUAUUGAAAACAGCCAGGUACAGGAACAACCCAAAUGUUCAUCAACUGAAGUUCCUGAGCCAUGACCAUUCCAUUUUGAAGGAGGAUUAGUAUACUGAAGAAGAGAGUAAUGAUGAUGACAGGUGUUUUCCUUGCUAAACUUGAGAGAAAAAAAAUAAAGGAAUGAAGAACAGGUUAGUGAGGAAAGAGAGACAGCGUGAGCAGGGGAGGGGCAGAGACAGAGGGAGACACAGAAUCCGAAACAGGCUCCAGGCUCCAAGCUGUCAGCGCAGAACCCACCUCGGGGCUCGAACUCACAAACUGUGAAAACAUGACCUGAGCCGAAGUUGGUCAUUUAACUGACUGAGCCACCCAGGCGCCCCAAUGUUUUCAUUUUCUUUAGGUAAGUGCCCAGUAGUGGGAUUAUUGGAUUCUAUGGUAUUUCUAUUUUUAUUUUUUUGAGGAAUAUCAGUGCUGUUUUACACAAUGGCUGUAUCAAAUUACAUUCUGACAGUGCACUAAGAUUCCCUUUUCUCCACAUCCUCGUCAACAUUUGUUAUUUUUUGUCUUUUGACACUAGCCAUUCUGACAGGUGUGAGAUAUCUCAUUGUGGUUUUGAUUUGCAUUUCCUUGAUGAUGAGUGAGGUUGAGCAUAUUUUCAUGAGCCUGUUGGAGAAAUAGCUAUUUCAGGUCCUCUACCCAUUUUGAAUCAUAUGACGGUGAUGUUGAUGAUGAUGUUGUUGAUGAUGAUGAGUUUGCUAAUGAGUUGUAUUCUGGAUACUAACCCUUAUCAGAUAUAUCAUUUGCAAACGUCUUCCCCAAUUCCAAGGUUGUCUUUUUAUUUUGUUGGCUUCCCUCACUAUGCAAAAGCUUAUUUUGAUGUAGUCCCAAUAGUUCAUUUUUGCUUUUGUUUAUCUCACUAACUAUAGCCAAUGUCUGAGAAAUUACUAUGUUCUCCUCUAGGACUUUUAUGGUUUCAGGUCUCACAUUUAGGUUUUUAAUCCAUUUUGAGUUUAUUUUUGUGUAUGAUGUUAGCAAAUUGUUUAAUUCUUUUGCAUGUAGCUGUCCAGAUUCCCGAACCAUUUGUAAAAGAGACUGUCUUUUCCCCAUUGUAUAUUCUUGCCUCUUUUGUGAUAGAUUAAUUGACCAUAUAAGUGUGGGUUUAUGUCUGGGAUCUUUAUUCUAUUCCAUUGAUCUACAUGUUUGUUUUUAUGCCAAUACCAUACAGCUUUGAUUACUACAGUUCUAUAGUAUAUCUUGAAACCUGGGGCUGUGAUACCUCCAGCUUUGUUUUUAAUUAAGAUUGCUUUGGUUAUUCAGGGUCUUUUGUGCUUCCAUGCAAAUUUUAGGAUUAUUUCUAGUUCUGAGAAAAAAAAUGCUAUUGGUAGUUUGAUAGAGAUUGCAUUGAAUCUGUAUAUUGCUUUGGAUAGUGUGGAAUUUCAACAAUAUUAAUUCUUCCAAUAUUUGAGCAUGGAAUAUCUUUCCAUUUCUUUGUGUCAGCUUCAAUUUAUUUUAUAUAUAUAUGUUGUACUUUUCAGAAUGCAAGUCUUUUAAUUCUUUGGUUAAAUUUAUUCCUAGGUAUUCUUUUUGGUACAAAUGUAAAUGGAUUUUUAGAAAUUUUUCUUUCUGAUUUGUUAUUAGUGUACAUAUUUCUGGAUAUUAAUUUUGCAUCCUGCAAGUUUACUGGAUGUAUUUAUUCUAGAAGUUUUUUGGUGGAAUGUUUAGGGUUUUCUGUGUAUAGCAUCAUGAUAUAUGCAAAUAAUGACAUUUUAACAUCUUCUUUAUCAAUAAUAAUGUGUCUUAUUUCUUUUUCUUGUCUGAUUUCUGAGUGUAAGAUGUCCAGUACUAUGUUGACUAAAAGUGGCAAGAGUGGACAUCUUUGUCUUCUUUCUGAUCCUAAAGAAAACCUCUGUUUUUACAGAGUAUGUAUGGUGUUAGCUGUGUUUUUUUUAAUGUUGAUUUGGAGAGAGCACAAGUAAGGGAGAGACAGAGAGAGGGGCAGAGGAUCCGAAGGAGGCUCUGUGCCAACAGCUUUGGUGCUUAUGGCAGUGAGCCUGAUAUGAGGCUUGAACUCAUGAUCCAUGAGACCAUGACCUGAGCCAAAGUCAGACACUCAACCGACUAAGCCACCCAAGCACCCCAAUGGGUUUUUCAUAUAUGGCCUUAAUAUGUUAUGUUCCCUUAAGCCCACUUUGUUAUUAUCAUGAAUGGAUGUUGAAUUUUGUCAAAUUCUUUUUCUGAAUUUAUUGAGAUUAUAUAAAUUUUUCCUUUGUUUUAUUGAUGUAGUGUAUCAUGUUGAUUGAGGGGCAAAUCACUAUCAUCCUUGCAUACCCAGAAUACAUCCUACUUGAUCAUUGUGAAGUAUCCUUUUAGUAUAUUCUUUUUUUUUCUGACUAACAUUCUCUUUUUUUCUUCCAACAUAUUAAAUUCACUUAGUUCACAUAUAGUGUAGUACUGGAUUCAGAAGUAGAAUUUAGUGAUUCAUCACUUACAUAUAACACUCAGUGCUCAUUACAAGUGCUCUCCUUAGUGUCCAUCACUCAUUUAGCCCAUCCCCCCACCCACCUCGCCUCUAGCAACACUGUUUGUUCUCUUUAGUUAAGAGUCUGUUCUGGUUUCUCUCCUUCUCUGUUUUUAUCUUAUUUUUCCUUCCCUUCAACAGUGUUCAUCUGUUUUGUUUCUCAAAUUCCACAUGGGUGAAAUCAUAUAUUUUUUUCUGCCUGACUUAUUUUGCUUUGCAUAAUACACUCUAGUUCCAUCCCCAUCACUGCAAAUGACAAGAUUUCAUUCUUUUUGAUGGCUGAGUAAUAUUCCAUUGUAAAUAUACACCACAUCUUUAUUCAUUAAUCAGUCAAUGGACAUUUGGGCUUUCUCCAUAGUAUGGCUAUUUUUUAAUGUUUACUUAUUUAUUUUUGAGAGAGAGACCACAAGUGGGGGAGGGGAGGAGAGAGGGAUGGAGACACAGAAUCCAAAGCAGGCUCCAGGCUCUGAGCUGUCAGCACAGAGCCUGAUGCAGGGCUCAAACCCACAAACCAUGAGAUCACGACUUGAGCCAAAGUUGGACACUUAACUGACUCAGCCACCCAUGCCCCCUUGGCUAUUGUUGAUAAUGCUGCUAUAAACAUCAAGGUGUAUGUGUCCCUUCAAAUCUUUAUUUUUCUAUCAUUUGGUAAAUACUUAGUAAUGCAAUUACUGGGUUGUAGGGUAGUUCUAUUUUUAAUUUUUUGAGGAACCUCCAUAUUCUCCAGAGUGGCUGCACCAGUUUGCAUUACCAUCAAAAGUGUAAGAGAGUUUCCUUUCUCCACAUCCUUGCCAAUAUCUAUUGUUUAAUGAGUUGUUCAUUUUUGCCAUUCUGACAGGUUUGAGGUGUUAUCUCAUUGUGGUUUUGAUGUGUAUUUCCCUGAUGAUGAGUGAUGAGCAUUUUUUCAUGUCAGCCAUUUGUAUGUCUUCUUCAGAGAAAUGUCUGUUCACGUCUGUUGCCUAUUUCUUAACUGGAUUACUUAUUUUUGGGGUGUUCAGUUUGAUAAGUUCCUUACAGAUUUUAUCAGAUACAUAAUUUGAAAGUAUCUUCCCCCAUUCUGUAGGCUGCCUUUUAGUUUUGUUGAUUGUUUCCUUCACUGUUAAGAAGUUUUUCAUAUUGAUGAGGUCCAAAUAGUUCAUGUUUGCUUUUGCUUCCCCUGCCUCUGGAGACGUGUCUACUAAGACAUUGCUCUGGCCAAAGUCAAAGAGGUUACUGCCUGUGUUGUCUUCCAGGAUUUUGAUGGUUUCCUGUCUCACAUUUAGGCCUUUCAUCCAUUUUGAAUUUAUUUUUGUGUAUGGUGUACGAAAGUGGCCUAGUUUCAUUCUUCUGCAUGUUGCUGUCCAGUUUUCCCAGCAUCAUUUGUGGAAGAGACUUUUUUCCAUUGGAUACUCUUUCUUGCUUUGUCAAAGAUGAGUUGACCAUAUAGUUGUGGGUCCAUUUCUGGAUUUUCUGUUGUGUUCUGUUGAUCUAUCUGUCUGUUUUUGUGCCAGUACCAUGCUGUCUUGAUGACUACAACUUUGUAGUAUAGCUUGAAAUCCAGAAUCGUGAUGCUUCCGGUUUUGUUUUUCUUUUUCAGGAUUGCUUUGGCUAUUCAGGAUCCUUCAUGGUACCAUAAAAGUUUUAGGGUUGUUUAUUCUAGCUCUGUGAAAAACGCUGGUGGUAUUUUGGUAGGAAUUGCAUUAAGUGUGUAGGUUAUUUUGGGUAGAACAGACAUUUUGACAGUGUUUGUUCUUCCAAUCCAUGAACAUAGAAUGCUUUUCCAUUUCUUUGUGUCAUCUUCUAUACGUUUUCAGAGUACAGAUUUUUUCCUUUUGGUUGGGUUUAUUCCUAGGUAUCUAAUUGCUUUUGGUGCAGUUAUAAAUGGGAUCUAUUCCUUGAUUUUUUUUCUAUUGCUUCAUUACUGAUUUAUAGAAAUGCACGAGAUUUCUGUACAUUGAUUUUAUAUCCUGCGACUUUGCUAAAUUCAUGUAUUAGUUGUAGCAAUUUUUUGGUGGAGUCUUUUGGGUUUUCUACAUAAAAUAUCAUGUCAUAUGCACAUAGUGAAUGUUUGACUUCUUCUUUGCUGAUUUAGAUGCCUUUUAUUUCUUUUGUUGUCUGCUAAGGCUAGUAUUUCUAGUGCUAUGUUAAAUAGUAAUGGUGAGAGUAGACAUCUGUGUCUUGUUUCUGACCAUAGGGGAAAGGCUUUGUUUUUCCCCAUUGAGGAUAUUAGCUGUGGGUCUUCUGUAUAUAGCCUUUUUGAUGUUGAGGUAUGUUCUAUCUAUUCCUACUUUGUUGAGGGUUUUAAUAAGAAUGGAUCCUGUAUUCUGUCAAAUACUUUUUCUGCAUCCAUUGAGAGGUUCAUAUAAUUCUUAUUCGUUCUUUUAGUAGGGUGAUAUAUCACAAUGAUUUGCAAAUACUGAACCACCCUUGCAGCCCAGGAAUAAAUCCCACUUGAUUUUGGUGAAUCAUUCUUUUAAUGUACUGUUGGAGUCGUUUUGCACUUGUUGACAACUUUUGCAUCUGUGUAUAUCAGGGAUAUUGGCCUGUAAUUCUCCUUUUCAGUGGGGUAUUUGCUUUUGGAAUCAAGGUAAUGCUGGCCUCGUACAAUGAGUUUGGAAGUUUUCAUUUCUAUUUUUUGGAAAAGUUUGAGGAUAGGUAUUAACUCUUUUUUAAAUGGAAGGGCACCUGGGUGGCUCAGUUGGUUGGGCAUCUGACUUUGGCUCAGGUCAUGAUCUCAUGGUCCAUGGAAUUGAGUCCCGCGUUGGGCUCUGUGCUGACAGCUCAGAGUCUGGAGCCUGCUUCAGGUUCUGUGUCUCCUUCUAUCUGCCCCUCCCCACUCACACUCUGUCUCUCAAAAAUAAAUAAAUGUUAAAAAGAAAAAAUUUUAAUGUCUGGUAGUAUUCCCCUAGGAAGCCAUCUGUCCCUAGAUUUUUGUUUGUUGGGAGAUUUUUGAUUACUGUUUCAAUUUCUUUGCUGCUUAUGGUCUAUUCCAAUUUUCUAUUUCUUCCUCUUUCAGUUUUGGUAGUUUGUUUCUAGAAAUUUAUCCAUGUCCUCCAGGUUGCCCUUUUUGUGGGUAGUUUUUCCUGAUAUUCUUGUAAUUGUAUUUCUGAAGUGUUGGUUUUGAUCUCUCCUCUUUCAUUUGUGAUUUUUGAGUCAUUUUUCUUUUUGAUAAGUCUGGUUAAGGGUUUAUCAAUUUUAUUAAUUCUUUCAAGAACCAGCUUCCAGUUUCAUUGAUCUAUUCUUGUCUGUUUCUGCAUUGUUUAUUUCUGUUCCAGUCUUUAUUAUUUCCCUUCUGCUGGCUUUACACUUUAUUUGCUGUUCCUUUUCUAGCUCCUUUAGGUGUAAGGGAAGAUUGUGUUUUUGAGACCUUUCUUGCUUCUUGAGAUAGGCCUGUAUUUCAAUAUACUUCCCUCCUAGAGCUGUCUUUUCUGCCUCCCCAAAGUCUCAACUGUUGUGUUUUCAUUUUCAUUGGCUUCCAUGUACUUUUUCUUAAUUUCCUGGUUAACUGGUUGGUUCUUUAGUAAGUUGUUUUUAACCUCCAUGUAUUUGUGAUCUUUCCAAAUUUUUUUCUUGUGGUUUACUUCAAUUCUCAUAGUGUUGCGAUCCAAAUAUAUGCAUGCUAUGAUCUCAAUCUUUUUGUAGAUGUUGAGACCUGAUUUGUGACCCUGUAUAUAAUUUAUUCUGGAGAUCAUGUGCACUCAAAAAGAGUGUGUAUUUUGCUGAUUGAGGAUGGAAUGUUCUGAAUAUAUCUGCUAAGUCCAUCAGGUCGUCCAGUGCCAUUCAAAGCCAUUGUUUCCUUGUGGAUUUUCUGCUUAUUUAAUUUGUAAGGGGGUGUUAAAGUCCCCUCAUAUUAUUAUCAAUGAUUUUCUUUGUUAGUAAUGAUUUAUAUAUUUGUGUGCUUUCAUGUUGGGGGUAUAAAUAUUUAUAAUUGGUAGAUCUUGUUGAUGGACAGAGCCCUUAAGUAUGAUAUAUAAUGCCCUUCUUAAUCUCUUGUUAUAGCCUUUGUUUCUAAAUUUCUUUUAACACUUAUUCACUCUUGAGAGAGAGACACAAAGUGUGAGUGGGGAGGGGCAGAGAGAGAGGGAGACACAGAAUCUGAAGCAGGCUCCUGGCCUUGAGCUGUCAGACAGAGCCCGAUGCAAAGCUCGAACCCAUGAACAGCGAGGUCAUGACCUGAGCCCAAAUCGGAUGCUUAACCGAGACACCCAAGCACCUUUAUAGUCUUUCUUUUAAAAUGUAGUUUAUCUAAUAUAAUAAGUAUAGCUACUCUUUCUUUGGCAUCCAUUAGCAUGAAAUCUGGUUCUGCAUCCCCUCACUUUCAAUCUGCUGAUGUCUUUAGUUCUAAAAUGAGUCUCCUGGGGGCGCCUGGGUGGCUCAGUCGGUUAAGCGUCUGACUUUGGCUCAGGUCAUGAUCUCACGGUCCGUGAGUUCGAGCCCCGUGUCGGGAUCUGUGCUGACAGCUCAGAGCCUGCAGCCUGCUUCCGAUUCUGUGUCUCCCUCUCUCUCUGACCCUCCCCCAUUCAUGCUCUCUGUCUCAAAAAUAAAUAAACAUUAAAAAAAUUUUUUAAAUGAGUCUCCUAUAUGCAGCAUAUAGAUGGGUCUUGUGGGUUUUUAAAAAAUGUUUUUUUUAAAUUUACAUCCAAAUUAGCAUAUAGUGCAACAAUGAUUUCAGUAGAUUCCUUAGUGCCCCUUACCCAUUUAGCCCAUCCCCCCUCCCACAACCCCUCCAGUAAACCCGGUUUGUUCUCCAUAUUAAUGAGUCUCUUCUGUUUUGUCCCCCUCCCUGUUUUUAUAUUAUUUUUGUUUUCCUUCCCUAAUGUUCAUGUUUUCCCUUACAGUCCUCAUAUGAGUGAAGUCAUAUGAUAUUUGUCUUUCUCUAAUUUCACUUAGCAUAAUACCCUCCAGUCCCAUCCAUGUAGUUGCAAAUGGCAAGAUUUUAUUCUUUUUGAUUGCUGGGUAAUACUCCAUUGUGUGUGUGUGUGUGUGUGUGUGUGUACACACACAUACAUACACACCACAUUUUCUGUAUCCAUUCAUCCAUCCAUGGACAUUUGGGCUCUUUCCAUACUUCGGCUAUUGUUGAUAGUGCUGCUAUAAACAUGGGGGUGCAGUGUCCCUUCGAAACAGCACACCUGUAUCCUGUGGAUAAAUGCCUAGCAGUGCAAUUGCUGGGUCAUAGGGCAGUUCUAUUUUUAGUUUUUUGAGGAAGCUCCAUACUGUUUUCCAGAGUGGCUGUACCAGCUUGCAUUCCCAGGGUCUUGUGGUUUUUUUAAUCUGAUAUCCUGUGUAUUUUGGUUGGAACAUUUAGUCCAGUUACAUUCAGAGUGAUUACUGAAAAAUACGACUUUAGUGCCAUUGUGUUAUGUCUAAAGUUGGUAUUUCUGGUUAUGUUCUCUGUUCCCUUCUAGUUUUUCUUGCUUUUAGGGGUUUUUUUUUGUCCCACUCUAAGAGUCCCCCUUAAUAUUUCUUGAAGAGCUGGUUUAGUGCUAAAUUCUUUUAGUUUUUGUCAGAGAAACUCUUAUCUCUCCUCUUAGGAAUGACAGCCUUGCUGGAUAAAGUAUUCUGGCUGUAUAUUUUUCCCAUUUAGAAUGUUGAAUAUAUCCUGCCCCUCCCUUCAGGCAUGCUAAGUUUUGGUGGACAGAUCUGUGAAUCUUCUCUUCCCUUUUAGAUUAAGGACUUUUUUCCUUUUCUGCGUUUAGGUUUCUUUCCUUGUCUGUGUAUUUUGUGAAUUUGACUGAUAUGCCUUGGUGAUGACCAGCUUUUCUUAAAUUUAAUGGGACAUCUCUGUGCUUUUCGGAUUUUGAUGUCUAUCUUUCCCCAGAUUAGGGAAGUUUUUAGGUACGGUUUGUUCAAAUAAACCUUCUGCCCCUGUUUCUCUCUCUUCAUCCUCUGGGACUCUUAUGAUCAAAUGUUACUCCACUUUAAUAAGUUGCUGAGUUUCCUAAGUCUACCUUCAUGAUGACUGACUUUUGUUUCCUCAUUUUCAGCUUAUUUUCCAUAAUUUUAUCUUCUAUAUCACUAAUUGUUCCUCUGCUUCAUCCAUCCUCACUGUUGUGGCACCCAUUCAGGUUUGCAGCUCAGUUAUACAUUUAUAAUUUGUGCCUGACUAGACUUUGCUUUUAUUUGUACAGGAAAGGAUUCUCUAGGUUCUUCUAUGCUUUUUUGAAGCCCACUAGAAUCCUUGUAAUUGUUUUAAAUAGUACUUCAGACAACUUACUUGUAUCUGUAAUGAUUAAAUCCCUGGCCAUGAUUCCAUCCUAUUCUUUCUUCUGGGAUGAAUUCCUCUGGUUUGUCGUUUUGGAGACAAAAAAAAUAAUAAAAUUUAAAAAGCUAAAAACAUAAAUAAAUAAAGGAAGCUAGAUUCUAGGUUUUAGUCUGCUUGACAGAAAAAGGAAGAAAAAGAUAAAGUAAAAUUAAACAAAGAAAAAUUAGCUCUUUCUGUAUCCAGGAAAAAAAAAAUCCAGAGACAUAAAAACAAACCCAAAGGAAGCUAGAUACUGUUUCCUCUAAAACUGAUGCUUUGCAGCACUCUAUGACUAUAGACUUGGUAAAAAGUCAAAUUUUAAGUGAAAUGGCAAGGUUCUUGUCCUUCUCUGACUUAGUUCACUUAACACAAUACUCUCUAGGUCUGUCCAUAUCGUCACAAAUGGCAGAGUCUCAUUCUUUACAUAGCAAUGUGUAUAUAUACACCACAUCUUUUUUAUCCAUUCAUCUAUUGAUGGGCACUUAGGUUGCUUAACAUAUCUUGGCUAUUGUACAUAACGCUGCAGUUCUCCCAUCACCAUUUGCUAAAGAAACAUUGUUACACGGAACCCGCACUACUGGGAACACAUAACCUUGGAAUGGCCAAAGACGUUCCGAUGUGAGCCAGGUAGAGGCAGCCUCCAUCAUUGUGUCCUGUGUCCCUAUGCAUCUGCAAAUCCUCGGCAUCAUCCAGCUAGCUUGCUUGCUUGCUUUUUUUUUUUUUUUGGUCAGCCUAAUAGUGCAAAGUGAUAGGUCAUUACUGUUUUAUUUUGUUGUGAUUACUAAUGAUUUUGAGCACUUUAUCCUGUACUUUAGGAUUUGGUUUCUUCUGCAAAUUAUGUUUCCUCUUUGUUCAAUUUAGGGGUUGCUGUCAACAGCAUGUCUUAAUUUUGGUUAUGGUGUCACUUGUACAAAAGAUUUAAAUCUUUAUAUAGACUAAUUAUUUUGCUAUAAGUUUUGCUUUUGUAUUAUUUAAUCCUGCUUUAAAAGCCUACUCUUUUCUAAUUUUUUCCCUAUAACUUAAAAAAAAAGUUUAGAUCCUUCACACAUAAAAAACUUAUUUUUGUGCACAGUAUGAGGAAAGGAUCUGCUUCAUUCCAUGUGGAUAGCCAGUCCUUCCAAGAUCACUUACUGAAGCAUCAUUUCUCCAUUCUGAUUUGAAAUGUCACCUAUCGUAUACCAAAUUUCAAAAUAUACAUAGGUCUGUUUCUUGAUCCUCUAUUUAUUGUCUAUUCAUGCACUGAUGCUGCUGGUCUCAAUGAUAAAAUUUAACUUUGUCUUCAUAAUUCACAGGGCAGG